CUUAGCCCUUAACUUAAAUAAUUUACAAAACAAAAUUAUUUGCCUGAGAACUACUGGCCACAGCUUAAAACUCAAAGGACUUGGCGGUACUUUAUAUCCAUCUAGAGGAGUCUGUUCUAUAAUCGAUAAACCCCGUUACACCUCACCACUCCUUGUUAAUUCAGCCUAUAUACCGCCAUCUUCAGCAAACCUUAAAAAGGAAUAAAAGUAAGCAAGAGAAUUACCAUAAAAACGUUAGGUCAAGGUGUAGCCAAUGGAGUGGGAAGCAAUGGACUACAUUUUCUUAAUAAGAACAUCACGAGACCCUUUUUGAAAUCAAAAGGGUGAAGGAGGAUUUAGUAGUAAAUUAAGAAUAGAGAGCUUAAUUGAAUAGCGCAAUGAAGUA
RNAcentral lists this ribosomal RNA (385 nucleotides) under Nyctomys sumichrasti (vesper rat). Its description in RNAcentral is "partial 12S ribosomal RNA". It matches the Rfam family "Bacterial small subunit ribosomal RNA", at positions 795 to 1381 of the family's 1533-position model. The record is from RNAcentral. Lineage: Eukaryota; Metazoa; Chordata; Mammalia; Rodentia; Cricetidae.